AACGCAUAUUGCACUUCCUGGUAUUCCGGGAAGUAUGCCUGUUUCAGUAUCAUGAACAUACCUCAGGCCAAAAUUCUUUUUUUGGGUCCUGGAUCUAGGCUGAACCUCUCUCUUAGCCGACCAGCACAAAAAGGUCGGCCAGCCUGAAACACAUCCCGAUCGCGGAUCCUCUUCUAGGGAGUGGAAAAAAGAAAAGGCGUUGAUAGUUCGACCUUGGUGUCGAUCUUUUCGCCGAAGUAAAAAAUCCCUCCUGAUCUGCGUCGAUUAGCAGGACUAAAUUUUGUUCUUCUCAACUUGAUCUGAAAUCAGGUAGGAGUACCCGCUGAACUUAA
RNAcentral lists this unclassified non-coding RNA (332 nucleotides) under uncultured fungus. RNAcentral describes it as "partial contains 5.8S ribosomal RNA, internal transcribed spacer 2, and large subunit ribosomal RNA". The record is from RNAcentral. Lineage: Eukaryota; Fungi.